This 770-nucleotide ribosomal RNA is filed under the name uncultured Neocallimastigales. RNAcentral's name for it is "partial large subunit ribosomal RNA". It matches the Rfam family "Eukaryotic large subunit ribosomal RNA", at positions 24 to 645 of the family's 3401-position model. Lineage: Eukaryota; Fungi; Neocallimastigomycota; Neocallimastigomycetes; Neocallimastigales. The record is from RNAcentral.
CGCAUCUGUGCAUGCAGCAUAUCAAUAAGGGAGGAAAAGAAACUAACAAGGAUUCCCUCAGUAACGGCGAGUGAAGCGGGAAGAGCUCAAAUUUGAAAUCUUGAAAGGUCACCUUUCACGAAUUGUAGUUUAAAGAAGUGUUCUCUGUUACGAUCGUAAUAUAAGUUCUUUGGAAUAGGACAUCACAGAGGGUGAGAAUCCCGUCUAUGAUUGCGAUUUGUAGCUUUGUGAUACACUUUCAAAGAGUCGGGUUGUUUGGGAAUGCAGCCCAAAGCGGGAGGUAAAUUUCUUCUAAGGCUAAAUAUUGGCGAGAGACCGAUAGCGAACAAGUACCGUGAGGGAAAGAUGAGAAGAACUUUGAAAAGAGAGUUAAAUAGUACGUGAAAUUGUCAAAAGGGAAGCGUUUAACACCAGUGUUGUUUUCUGAAAAUCAACCUCUGUUAGCUUUAUGCAUGUUUGUUUAGACCUAAUCAGCUAUCUUGCAUGUUCUAUUGUUUGCAGUGGUGCACUUUUCAGUUUACAGGUCAACAUCAGUUUUUUUUACCGUAAAAAAGUUAAAGAAAGGUAGCUCAUGGCUCCGGUCGUGAGUGUUAUAGUCUUUUUCCUAUGCGGUAGGAGAGACUGAGGUCUGCAGUGUAGGCUAUUUGGCUAGAUACUCAGGUGCUAUGUGAUACCAUUUCAUAAACAACUUGUUGAUUAUGUUUUGUCUAUUGCAUACUCGCUUGUACUAUCAUACCUACGCUUAGGAUGUUGAAGUCAUCGUAUCGCGC